UUUAUGUACCCACCGGGGGGGAUGAGAACCCCCGACCGGGGUUCGACAACUGGCAACGCCAGUUGGACAGACCGCGAGCCUGCGAGCGGGCUGCCCCGCAGGGGCGAGCGAAGCGAGUCAAUCCCCCCCUCACCGCCA
This 138-nucleotide small RNA is filed under the name Klebsiella pneumoniae. Its description in RNAcentral is "RtT sRNA". It matches the Rfam family "RtT RNA". From Rfam's summary of the family: This family represents a bacterial cis-regulatory element known as RtT RNA. The exact function of RtT is unknown although it is thought that it may be involved in changing the cellular response in relation to amino acid starvation. The record is from RNAcentral. RNAcentral also lists the same sequence under 1 other name. Lineage: Bacteria; Pseudomonadati; Pseudomonadota; Gammaproteobacteria; Enterobacterales; Enterobacteriaceae.